UCAAACCUAUUUAUAACGGCGGCAUUUCUUCUUAUUAGAGGAACCUGUUUUAUAAUCGACAAUCCACGUUAAAUUUCACUUAAAUUUACAAUUUAUAUACCGCCAUCUAAAAAAUUAAUUUUAAAAUAAUAUUUUCAAUAAGUAAUAAAUAAAAAGUUAGGUCAAGGUGUAGUCCAUAUUUCAGAAAACAAUGGGUUACAUUAAAAAAUAUUUAAGAAUAUUUUUAUAAAAAUAAUUAUUGAAAAAGGAUUUAAAAGUAAUAACAAAAUAUUAUUUUGUUAUG
RNAcentral lists this ribosomal RNA (283 nucleotides) under Lycosa perinflata. RNAcentral's name for it is "partial 12S ribosomal RNA". Lineage: Eukaryota; Metazoa; Arthropoda; Arachnida; Araneae; Lycosidae. The record is from RNAcentral.